Molecule: microRNA precursor, 125 nt
Filed under: Myotis davidii
Lineage: Eukaryota; Metazoa; Chordata; Mammalia; Chiroptera; Vespertilionidae
Description: mir-9193 microRNA precursor family
Rfam family: mir-9193 microRNA precursor family
Source: Rfam by way of RNAcentral
CGUGCACCAGUGGGGUCCCUUGGCCUGGCCUGCAGGAUUGGGCUGAAGCCAGCUCUCUGACAUCCCCCAAGGGGUCCGGGUUGCAAGAGGUUGCAGGCCAGGCCGAGGGACUCCACUGGUGCAUG